GUCUAUCUAGUUCAAUCUGUAGAGCCUGAGACUCUUAAUUUAAAAGUUGCGGGUUGAACCCCCGCGUUGGGCU
Molecule: transfer RNA, 73 nt
Filed under: Smittium culicis
Lineage: Eukaryota; Fungi; Kickxellomycota; Harpellomycetes; Harpellales; Legeriomycetaceae
Rfam family: tRNA
About the family: Transfer RNA (tRNA) molecules are approximately 80 nucleotides in length. Their secondary structure includes four short double-helical elements and three loops (D, anti-codon, and T loops). Further hydrogen bonds mediate the characteristic L-shaped molecular structure. tRNAs have two regions of fundamental functional importance: the anti-codon, which is responsible for specific mRNA codon recognition, and the 3' end, to which the tRNAs corresponding amino acid is attached (by aminoacyl-tRNA synthetases). tRNAs cope with the degeneracy of the genetic code in two manners: having more than one tRNA (with a specific anti-codon) for a particular amino acid; and 'wobble' base-pairing, i.e. permitting non-standard base-pairing at the 3rd anti-codon position.
Source: Rfam by way of RNAcentral